Molecule: ribosomal RNA, 256 nt
Filed under: uncultured bacterium
Lineage: Bacteria
Description: partial 16S ribosomal RNA
Rfam family: Bacterial small subunit ribosomal RNA
Source: RNAcentral
UACGGGGGGGGGCGAGCGUUUGUUCGGAAUUACUGGGCGUAAAGGGCGCGUAGGCGGUUCGCUAAGUUGGAUGUGAAAACUCUGGGCUCAACCCAGAGCCUGCAUCCAAAACUGGCGGGCUAGAGUUCUGGAGGGGGUAGCGGAAUUCCUGGUGUAGCGGUGAAAUGCGUAGAUAUCAGGAGGAACACCGGUGGCGAAGGCGGCUACCUGGACAGAAACUGACGCUGAGGCGCGAAAGCAUGGGGGAGCGAACAGG